GCAUCGGUGGUUUAGUGGUAAAAUUAGCCGUUGCCAAGGAAUCAGUACUGAUUACCAGCUGUCGGCUAGCCCCGGGUUCGAUUCCCGGCCGAUGCA
RNAcentral lists this transfer RNA (96 nucleotides) under Kalmusia sp. IMI 367209. RNAcentral describes it as "tRNA-Gly". It matches the Rfam family "tRNA". From Rfam's summary of the family: Transfer RNA (tRNA) molecules are approximately 80 nucleotides in length. Their secondary structure includes four short double-helical elements and three loops (D, anti-codon, and T loops). The record is from RNAcentral. Lineage: Eukaryota; Fungi; Ascomycota; Dothideomycetes; Pleosporales; Didymosphaeriaceae.